This 483-nucleotide ribosomal RNA is filed under the name uncultured bacterium. RNAcentral describes it as "partial 16S ribosomal RNA". It matches the Rfam family "Bacterial small subunit ribosomal RNA", at positions 30 to 506 of the family's 1533-position model. The record is from RNAcentral.
AUUGAACGCUGGCGGCAGGCCUAACACAUGCAAGUCGAGCGGAUGAAGGGAGCUUGCUCCUGGAUUCAGCGGCGGACGGGUGAGUAAUGCCUAGGAAUCUGCCUUGUAGUGGGGGAUAACGUCCGGAAACGGGCGCUAAUACCGCAUACGUCCUGAUGGCGAAAGUGGGGGUUCUUCUGACCUCACGCUUUCAGAUGAGCCUAGGUCGGAUUAUCUAGUUGGUGGGGUAAAGGCCUACCAAGGCGACGAUCCGUAACUGGUCUGAGAGGAUGAUCAGUCAAACUGAAAAUGAGAAACGGUACAGACUCCAACGGGAGGAAGCAGUGGGGAAGAUGGGAAAAUGGGCGAAAGACAGAAAAAGACAGGCGGCGUGGGUGAAGAAGGUCUUCGGAUUGUAAAGAAAUUUAAGAUGGGAGGAAGGGGAGUAAGUUAAUACCUUGCUGAUUUGACGUAACCAACAGAAUAAGAACCGGCUAACUUCGU